CCUAAGAUAUUGGCUAGUGCCGUUUUUUAAAAUAAAAUAGAGGAAUGGAGGUGUAAUCCAUCUGAUAAAUCGAAAGGGAAACGGGUUAAUAUUCCCGUACCUGGACACGGAGAUAAAUGCUCAUCGUGAGAAUUUAGCGCGGUAACGCAAAUGAACUCGGAAACAUUGAGGAAAGCCCGAGCCAGAGUUCUCUUUUCUGGUUAAGGAACGGACUC
This 215-nucleotide ribosomal RNA is filed under the name Onchocercidae sp. DN8581. RNAcentral describes it as "partial large subunit ribosomal RNA". It matches the Rfam family "Eukaryotic large subunit ribosomal RNA", at positions 1544 to 1718 of the family's 3401-position model. The record is from RNAcentral. Lineage: Eukaryota; Metazoa; Nematoda; Chromadorea; Rhabditida; Onchocercidae.